CAGGUCCCAAAACCUGCCUGAUGUUUAAAGUUUUCAAACAGAAAAAAGAAACAGAUGCUGAAGUUUAUGAAGCUGUAGAAUCUGCUUUAUUCUUGUAACACCUCUUGAAAAUAAACAAGCAUGAAAAAAUACAGAUUACAUUGCUCAUUAGCUAUUUAUGUUGCACCAUCAUCAAUCACCUGGUAUAAUGCAAGCCAACAGCAUCCAUUCUACAUGGAUCCAUUAUAGAGUGAAUAUUUCUCCUUCAAAAAAAUUCCAGUGCUCAAGCAUGUUUGUAUACUUUCACUCUUUCCUUGUCCCCAGUGCUUUGAUUGCAGUAAGAAUCCUAAAAUACUUUUGUUCUUGUUGUCCUGCACCUAUUCCUGGUCUUCACUGACAAAAAUUACAGAAAAACCCAUGUGAUAUAAAUCAUACUGUAGUGCCUUCCAGUUUUAUUUAGUUCCUAAGUCAACCAUGCUCAUGCUUUUAGUUAUCCCCAGCACUAGAUGCCAUGUUUAACAGUGCAAGGGCCACAUGCUUUUGUGCUUACUUUAUUUCCUUUUCUGCCCAAGUUCUAAAGCAGUCAACAGCACUUUAAAUAUGGAUUUAUGACUGCUCACGUACCCCUGAACUGCAGGGGAGGGAGGAUAAAAGUGUUACUGACCACAGUGGGGUCCAUUCCUUUUUGCAGGAAAGGGCUGUUUAGCAGAGGGGGGGAAGAUGAACCUGGUGCCAGCUGGUUUUGCACUGGCCAAGUCCUGCCAUCAAAACUACAGGACACAGAGGCCGUGCUAACUUCACUCUGCAGCAGGGUCAAGGAAUUUCUGUGGUGUGAAGGAUUUCCCUGUGGGUGCAGAGCAGGCAUGAAGGGUCCUCUGGAGCUGAUUUGGCACAAUUUCCAUUCCAGGUUAAUUAGCCACCAUCAGUGGAGAGUUUAUGCAGGAAAAAGGAUUUCCCUCUGUUGGGCUGCUCCCCAGCUAAGGAGGCCUGGUCUGUGGCCAGAAGUACUUUGCCUUUAA
RNAcentral lists this long non-coding RNA (998 nucleotides) under Zonotrichia albicollis (white-throated sparrow). RNAcentral's name for it is "lncRNA (ENSZALG00000006421.1)". The record is from RNAcentral. Lineage: Eukaryota; Metazoa; Chordata; Aves; Passeriformes; Passerellidae.